UUCUUAUUUAUUUUCCUUUCAUUGCAGGUUAGGAGAGAAUUCGUCGAUGAUGCAGAACAGGGGAGAAAUAUAAAAUUUGAGGACAAGUUUUGCAGCAUAAAGGUGUGGCAUCUGCGCCACGCAGAUGGUCUUUAUUUAUGCAUUGGCGUCAGGAGGUGGAGACGGCAUCAUAAAAUUGUCAGAUAUUUGUAUCUAUAAUCGCAAAAGUUGGCGAUUUUGUUUUGCUUUAACGGGGCCCGUCUCCUGGUUUACGUGUGCGUCAUCGGCAGGAUGAGGCCGGAUUUUUGUAUUUGCUGGUUUGCCUGUCCGAUUAUCAGGAAAUCAUUGAAGAAACGGUACUGAGGAAAUUUAUACAAUUUGGAGACGGAUUUUAAUUCUUUUUAAUAUGAUGUCAGCUCCGGGAUUGUGAUCCUUUUUAGUGCAGUGGCACCAGGAAGUGGAGACGGCGUUGUAAGAUUGUCAAUUAUUUGUGUUUAUAAUCACGAAAGAUGGCGAUUUUGUUUUUCUUUGCAGGGCUCGUCUUCUCUUGUUGGUUGCGUUGGAUCGCCAGUUGGCUGUGUUUAUUGAGGUUUUAGCGUCUCUUAUGUAGGCGCUCGUCGAUCUGAGAGAAUUUAAGAGUAGUGGAAAGGAUAGAUUCUGCAGCUCCGCGUUAAGUGCCCUGAACUAAGCGUGGGCAGCUUAUAUGGCCCGUCAAUUGCAGCGCAGCACUGCAAGUAGAUUGUAUCGGUGAUAAGGGAUACUACCAGGGACUGUGUGGCAAAGAAAGUUCAGGUAAGUGACGUUGUGCAUAAAUUGCUGCAGCGAGUCGCCUUUUAUUCAUCAUGUUUCUGCCACACUAAUCCUUUUCAUAUCGAUCUACCGCUUCAUCUUUUAUGUCCUGUUGAUUUUCUCCGCAUCGUUUAGUCAGGAUCAGCUGGAGUGCAUUGUCUUGGGCUUGCUCAUCCGGGUACUUUGAGAUGAGUUUGGCUGCGUCGAGGAAAGUGAUGACAGUGGAGGAGUUUGUGAGCAGACAGACGUGCGCUUUUUCGUCGAAUAUAGAUAUCGUUAAUAUAACUAUAAGUAGAUGUAGGAUUAAUUGGAUGUUUCCAUGUCAUGAUUGUUAUCUCUUCCUUGUAUGAUUAAGGCCAAUAAAAUGUCAAUUUUCUUC
Molecule: long non-coding RNA, 1147 nt
Organism: Drosophila sechellia
Lineage: Eukaryota; Metazoa; Arthropoda; Insecta; Diptera; Drosophilidae
Exons: 4
Source: RefSeq, a predicted model, not a curated record